RNAcentral lists this ribosomal RNA (372 nucleotides) under uncultured organism. Its description in RNAcentral is "partial 16S ribosomal RNA". It matches the Rfam family "Bacterial small subunit ribosomal RNA", at positions 527 to 896 of the family's 1533-position model. The record is from RNAcentral.
GUAGGUGGCAAGCGUUGUCCGGAAUUAUUGGGCGUAAAGCGCGCGCAGGCGGUCCUCUAAGUCUGAUGUGAAAGCCCACGGCUCAACCGUGGAGGGUCACUGGAAACUGGGGGACUUGAGUACAGAAGAGGAAAGCGGAAUUCCAAGUGUAGCGGUGAAAUGCGUAGAGAUUUGGAGGAACACCAGUGGCGAAGGCGGCUUUCUGGUCUGUAACUGACGCUGAGGCGCGAAAGCGUGGGGAGCAAACAGGGAUUAGAUACCCUGGUAGUCCACGCCGUAAACGAUGAGUGCUAAGUGUUAGGGGGUUUCCGCCCCCUUAGUGCUGCAGCUAACGCAUUAAGCACUCCGCCUGGGGAUACGGCCGCAAGGCUG